CUACGGGAUGCUGCAGUGGGGAAUAUUGCACAAUGGAGGAAACUCUGAUGCAGCAACGCCGCGUGGAGGAUGACACUUUUCGGAGCGUAAACUCCUUUUAUAUAGGAAGAUAAUGACGGUACUAUAUGAAUAAGCACCGGCUAACUCCGUGCCAGCAGCCGCGGUAAUACGGAGGGUGCAAGCGUUACUCGGAAUCACUGGGCGUAAAGAGCGUGUAGGCGGGUUAAUAAGUCAGAAGUGGAAUCCUAUGGCUCAACCAUAGAACUGCUUUUGAAACUGUUAACCUAGAGUGUGGGAGAGGUAGAUGGAAUUUCUGGUGUAGGGGUAAAAUCCGUAGAGAUCAGAAGGAAUACCGAUUGCGAAGGCGAUCUACUGGAACAUAACUGACGCUGAGACGCGAAAGCGUGGGGAGCAAACAGGAUUAGAUACCCCCGUAGUC
Molecule: ribosomal RNA, 439 nt
Filed under: uncultured bacterium
Lineage: Bacteria
Description: partial 16S ribosomal RNA
Rfam family: Bacterial small subunit ribosomal RNA
Source: RNAcentral